This 505-nucleotide ribosomal RNA is filed under the name uncultured bacterium. RNAcentral's name for it is "partial 16S ribosomal RNA". It matches the Rfam family "Bacterial small subunit ribosomal RNA", at positions 28 to 507 of the family's 1533-position model. The record is from RNAcentral.
GACGAACGCUGGCGGCGUGCCUAAUACAUGCAAGUAGAACGCACAGUUUAUACCGUAGCUUGCUACACCAUAGACUGUGAGUUGCGAACGGGUGAGUAACGCGUAGGUAACCUGCCUGGUAGCGGGGGAUAACUAUUGGAAACGAUAGCUAAUACCGCAUAAUAUUAAUUAUUGCAUGAUAAUUAAUUGAAAGGUGCAAUUGCACCACUACCAGAUGGACCUGCGUUGUAUUAGCUAGUAGGUGAGGUAACGGCUCACCUAGGCGACGAUACAUAGCCGACCGUAGAUGGUGAUCGGCCACACUGGGACUGAGACACGGCCCAGACUCCUACGGGAGGCAGCAGUAGGGAAUCUUCGGCAAUAGACGAAAGUCUGACCGAGCAACGCCGCGUGAGUGAAGAAGGUUUUCGGAUCGUAAAGCUCUGUUGUAAGAGAAGAACGGGUGUGAGAGUGGAAAGUUCACACUGUGACGGUAUCUUACCAGAAAGGGACGGCUAACUACGUG